AUGAAGGGAGUUGACAAUUCUGAAGAUCAAUACUAUGUGAUGCAUGAUUUAUUGCAUGAACUAUCCCGUAAUGUUUCAUCACAAGAAUGUGUCAAUAUAAGUAGUUUAAAUUUUAGUGCCGAUGACAUCCCACAGUCUGUUCAACACUUAUCAAUCACAAUAGAAGAUAUAUAUGAUGCAUAUUUUGAAGAAGAAAUGGGUAAACUGAAGGGCAUGAUUGACAUUAGAAAUUUGCGAACUUUGAUUAUUUUUGGGUUCCAUAAUGCAAGAAUAGAUAAUGUUUUUAAAGACGUUUUUGAAGAAAUAAAGGGUCUCCGAGUAUUAUGUAUAGUAAUGAACACCCCAGGAACUCUACCAAAUAGCUUUUCAAAACUUAUCCACAUGCAAUACCUUAAGGUUAGUCCACCCUAUUGUAAGUUAAACGAAAUGACUUUACCUACCACCUUGUCUAGAUUUUACCACUUAAAAUCCCUGGACCUACAAGUUUGGAAUGGUAGUAGAAAGUUGCCUAGAGACAUUAGCCGCCUUGUGAAUUUACACCAUUUCAAUUCUUCCAAAGAACUCCACUCCAAUAUUCUUGAGGUUGGAAAGAUGAAGUGCUUACAAGAA
This 609-nucleotide ribosomal RNA is filed under the name Triticum aestivum (bread wheat). RNAcentral describes it as "partial small subunit ribosomal RNA". The record is from RNAcentral. Lineage: Eukaryota; Viridiplantae; Streptophyta; Magnoliopsida; Poales; Poaceae.